This 276-nucleotide unclassified non-coding RNA is filed under the name Tardiphaga sp. OK246. RNAcentral's name for it is "Long range pseudoknot". The record is from RNAcentral. Lineage: Bacteria; Pseudomonadati; Pseudomonadota; Alphaproteobacteria; Hyphomicrobiales; Nitrobacteraceae.
ACGUGAAAAUGCGCGCAAUGCAGCGCUUCUUCGAAGAAGGCGACAAGGUGAAAAUCACCUUGCGCUAUCGUGGCCGCGAAAUGGCGCACCAGGAAAUCGGUACCAAGCUGCUCGACAAGGUCAAAGCAGACGUCGCCGAAUACGCCAAGGUGGAGCAGGACGCGCGCUUCGAAGGUCGUCAAGUGGUGAUGGUGCUUGCACCGCGCUGAUCACAGCGCCGACUGACCUUAACGAGGUUGGUAAUCAGAAAUUUCGGCCCGUCAGAUUUCUGGCGGG